Molecule: long non-coding RNA, 708 nt
Organism: Amphiprion ocellaris (clown anemonefish)
Lineage: Eukaryota; Metazoa; Chordata; Actinopteri; Pomacentridae
Exons: 3
Source: RefSeq, a predicted model, not a curated record
CCGCGAGCAACUUUCGAGUGGAACUAACCGCUGAUUCUUCAGUGACAAACUUAGCUUGGGCUACAAAAAAAGUGACUCUGUGACUUUUUAAAAAGUUGUCAGGACGUAAAUGAUAGGAAGACAUUUUAGACGAUAAGUGGCCAGACCUGUCAAACACCUGUAUACAGGUGGAGGUUAGCAAACCGGAGCGUCCAUUACAGCUCACAGCACGAUGAGCGGCAUCAAAGUGUCAGUUGGAGAAAGAGAGUCACCAAGAGCAGAAGAGGAUAAGAGAGGCUCCCCAUCUGGAUGGAAGACAGUCCUCUGUGUGCCUGAUUAAUGGUGUGGAGAGACAGUUGCCAGUUCUGAAGCCUUGCUGUCUGGCCCAGGUCAAAACUUCCAGAAGGCAACCUAAUGUUAGUCCAACACACACACACAUAACCACAGACACACACGCACACACCGUAAAAAAAAAAAAAAAAAAAAAAACCCUCAGAGAUUAGAAUUUUUCUCAGAAGGACCUGCCUAAGUUAGUUUCAUAUUGUUCCCCAUAUGAAUAAGCAUCAAUAUGUGAUAGAGGGAUAUGAGAUCUUCAAUGAGGAAAAGAAAGGAAAGAGCAUUUUGUGUACUAUCUGAAUUAUCAUGUAGUUGUAAGUCACCAUUAAGUGUAGUUUAUGAAAAUGUUGGUAAGCAAUCCAUUCAUCUACGGUACACAACUGCUUUUUGAGU